AGAAAGCGGAGAAUCCAGGGCAGAGUUAGAGUCAGACCUAGGCUCUCGCAGAGAACUGCAUCGCGCUCCCAGCUCUGCUGCCUCGGUGCGGGGACGGGGCUCUGCAUGAGGACUGGGAAUGUAAGUCCCGGGCCUGGACAGGCGCCCCUGGGAGCUAGCCUGGAGGAGAUUCAGUAGAAGGCUGAGGAGUCGGCUUGGAGGGUCUCGGCAAGGCGGCGCGGAUGGAGAUGAAGCUGCGAAGAAUGCUGAGAAAGAGCGGCCGGGGGCCUUGGAGGGAAGCUAGGGAAACGCUGCGGGGGCAGCCGAGGCCGUCGGCGCCCCGGGAGAAGAGACCUUCACUGCUUCUAUCAGUCACCAUAUCUGAAUCUUGGCUUGCCACUCAAUCCUCCAAUAUCGACCAACAACAGGAGAUUCUCUCUAUCUGAGGGGGGAGGUGUGUUUCCCUGACUAGACUCUAAAUACAAAUCCUCCACUUCUCCAUCUGUCUCUCCAGUGAUCUCAGAGGCAUGGUCUUAACACCGCGCACAGUUCCUUGCAAGUUGAAGAGUAGACCCAAAUGAUCAGUUCUAAAAUUCUAUUCUUAUUGAAGAUUACUGGUGGAAAUAUCAAUGCAAACAAAAUGAAAAAGUUCAACAAUGAUUAAUACUGCAUUUCAACAGAAGAAUCAAAUCAUCUUGACAAAACUUCAAUGGGCAAAAUUUGCCUUGGGGAAUUUUAUGCAGGGGAAUCCUUGGGUCUGAUGUGUGGUGGGCUUUGGAUGUGUUGUGUAGCUCAGUGUCCCUUCCUGCUACUCCUAGUCAUCUCCAGAAACUCAGACCACCCAUCUACUAAAGGCAGGUGGAUGAGCAAGGGGGCCUCGGAGGCAUUCCGGAUCACACUGAACCUGAGCCCCACCGCCUGACCCACUCAGUGUCACUGUUAACAGAAACUCGCUGCCAUCUGGCCUCAGGCCUGCCUCCUUCCUAUAGAACUUGACACUGGAAGCACCAGGCGAGCUGGACCUUCUGCUGCUACUGCACUCCCAUGAUGCAGCCUGAGAAUGAAGCCCACCAGAGUGACAGAGAGCAGACCUGAGUGGUGAGCUGGUGACACAGGGUGUGGGUGGUGUCCCUUGAGCUUCGACACCACGCCACACCUGAAACCAGCCUGACAUCCAUGAUUUUGCUUUUUUGCUUAAACCAGUCUGCGUCAUUUUCAACAAAAGAGUUCUACUAGAUAUGACAAAUUUCUCUAGAAGACCUAAGAAGUGAAAGACUUGAAGCUAUUCCAGUGGUUCAGGAACUAGGACACUGGUAGGAAACUGGAAAGAAGGCAUCAGAGUUAAGGAAAUAUUUAUGAGGUCAACUCUGGAAGUCUUGGUUACUGAGUGAAUACAGUGGCUGAGAGGAAUGGAAGCAUCCAACCAAAUAAAAAAAGAUGGUGCUGAGAUUUGGGUUAUGAGGUCAAUGACUGAAGCAAUGCGAUUAACUGAGUUAGGAGUCUCAAAUAUAGGAUGAGUGCAGAGUUGAGGAUGAAGAAUUCUGCUUUGGACACAAUGAGUGUGAGGUGCCCAAGGAUAACCCAACGGGAAGCAGUCACACCAAAGCAACAGGGUGUGCACCUGAAACUCAGAAGGGUGAUUGGGCUAUGGUGAAGAUUCCUGAUCACCCAUAAAUGAAUUCAUUAAAAGCAUGAGAGUGAGUGGAGGGGCCCCUAGAAUAUGGUGGGUGCAUGAGACUAACCCUAGAUUGGGGAUAGCUCCCUGGGAAAUCCAAGGGACAAGGUGAGGAGGAGGAGGCGGAGCCCACCAAGGAAACUAGAAAGAGACCGCUGGAGAGGUCCGAGGACAGCAAGGAGCACAGCCUUCAAGUCUGGGAGCCAACUAUCCAAGAAGAGAGUGGUUUGCUAUGGAUGCCGUGGGCCACCACGUCCCAUCUAGGAAAGCAAGUUGAGGUCUCUCUUGAAUACAUUGGGAUUGAUUACCCAGACUUUAAAGAAUCUAUGUCCCCUACUUCCCUUCAUUCACUCUGCUCUUUACCUUCUCCUCUUCCCUGGUCACCAGCACCUCUGCUAAAGGGUGGAGAAAGGAACUUCUGAUCAGUUACAGAAAAGCUUUGGGGUUACGUGGUGCAAGCUGCUCUGCCUCUGUUUGUGAAGAAAUUAGACUAUGGCCAGCCAUGUGAGUGGCAUCACUUUGGUUUCUGGAGCAAUAGUUAGUAGCAACUUUUAGAGGUGGUCAUUUCGGUUCCCUUCUGGAAAGUGAUUCGUGUUUAAGAAAAAUAGAUGCAACGUUGCUAAGUACACCUAACAUUUAAACAGUCUCCAGCAGAUAAAUGCUGAUACUGACACUUCUCACCAGAAAAAGAGAAAUACCCAUCAUGAGGAAGAGAAAUGACUUUUGUUCAGUUAUGCUCCCGGGUCCCCUUUCACUGGAGGGAUAUCUCAGCUUUCUGAGCCCCUGGUUACUGCAAUCCUCGGUUCCAGAACCCAGCAAUUCCUAUCAUCACAAUUGUUUCAAGUCUUAUCCAAGCCCUGUAUAUUUCAGAUCAUCCUUAAUUUCUUGUUCUGUACCCAGAGGAGAUCAGGAAAACCUUUAAGUCUCUAUGUGAGGCAAAUACAUCCUCCUCACUGCCCCAGCCCCAUGUGAUUGAUGAAGCAACUGAGGAAGAGAAGUAGGGUGCUUCUGGCACUGGAGGAGCGCAGUGCUGAGAAACUCCGGGCUCCAUUCGGAAAUAGCACUGAUUUCUUAGUGUACUUUUUUUUGGUGUUAAUAUAGAAAACAUCAAAAACACAGUUAAAAGAAUGAAGCAUGUCUACAUACGUGUGGCCAGAAAGACUGACCAGAAGCUGGUAGCAGUGAGGGAUGACAGUGCUUGCCCCUGGGUUGAAUAGUGGAAGAGUUAGGGGGGAAACAGUCUGCUCUUUGAGACCCUUUCAAUUUCAUGUGAUGGAUUUACAGAGACAGAUGAAUUAAACAUUAUAUAAAAAAGGAAUAAAACCACUGGUAGGAUCUGUAUUCCAGGAAGAAAAAAGCAUAUUACAUAAUAGGUCAAUGCACAGAAAUAAAAAAAGGAAUUUAACUAGA
RNAcentral lists this long non-coding RNA (3064 nucleotides) under Homo sapiens (human). Its description in RNAcentral is "HSALNT0353872". Lineage: Eukaryota; Metazoa; Chordata; Mammalia; Primates; Hominidae. The record is from RNAcentral.